This 256-nucleotide long non-coding RNA is filed under the name Phoenix dactylifera (date palm). Its description in RNAcentral is "long non-coding RNA (PDAC_LNC005889)". The record is from RNAcentral. Lineage: Eukaryota; Viridiplantae; Streptophyta; Magnoliopsida; Arecales; Arecaceae.
UACCUGUUGCCCAAGGUGACAAGCCAAGAGGGGGGGGGUGAAUUGGUUUCUUCUAAAUUUUGGUGCUUUAAACGUUUUCUUAAUUAAGUGCGGUGGAUGCUUCCUUAAACUAUUUGAAUGAUUUAAACUAGUGCAAAGAUAGUAGAUGAUGCAAGAAUAAACGUAAGCACAAGCACAACACAAACACAACAAUAUAUAGUGGUUCGGUGCUCUCCUUAGCACCUACGUCCACUCCCCAAGCGUCCCCUUGGGAAUU